AGGUGUGUAAGCAUGGUAACAUGUUCAGCUUACUGGUACUAAUAGGUCGUGAGGCUUAGCCAC
RNAcentral lists this ribosomal RNA (63 nucleotides) under Desulfobacula sp. RNAcentral's name for it is "partial 23S ribosomal RNA". The record is from RNAcentral. Lineage: Bacteria; Pseudomonadati; Thermodesulfobacteriota; Desulfobacteria; Desulfobacterales; Desulfobacteraceae.